GGAGGUAUGGCUCAAGAGGUAGAGCACCUGCCUAGCAAGUGUGAGUCCCUGUGUUCAAACCCCAGUACUGCUA
Molecule: transfer RNA, 73 nt
Filed under: Dipodomys ordii (Ord's kangaroo rat)
Lineage: Eukaryota; Metazoa; Chordata; Mammalia; Rodentia; Heteromyidae
Rfam family: tRNA
About the family: Transfer RNA (tRNA) molecules are approximately 80 nucleotides in length. Their secondary structure includes four short double-helical elements and three loops (D, anti-codon, and T loops).
Source: Rfam by way of RNAcentral